AUGUGAAAGCAAUAAAAAUGGACGAAGAAAAUCAUUAUAGACGGGGGAAUAAAACUCGUUUGCGCUUGAGCACCUAUCGGAAAAAAAGAAAGUCUUUCCCUGUUAAAAAACAGGCAAGUGACCAUUUGAACUGUUUGAUAAGCACUUUUUGACAGUUAUAUUUUAGAAUCCGAUUUCAACAGCAGAGAAUUCUUCAACUUCAGAUCACAGCACUCAACGGUUCAGGAAUGAUGAACCUAAUUUUCCAACUUCACCUACUACUGCUUUGCCUUCUUGUUCUUAUGUUAUUCCUGAAAAUCAACCAACUGGUAGUGCAACAAUAACAAGCACAUUCAUGGAUUUCCCAAAUAGCCAAAUGUUGGAAGGUCGACGCAUUGUGGAUAUUAAAUCAUUUUUUGAAUCUAUUGUGCGUAUAGGAGCACACGGUCAACAAUUUGGCUGUUCGUUGAGCAACGUAGUGCUCCAAAAGGAAAAGAUGCAGGGUAUUCGUUCUUCCUUACACCUAAAAUGUAACAUGUGCAAUGAAACGUUCAAGCUUGAUACAUCGGAUGCCAGCGUCAACAGGGACGCGGUACUUGCCAUGAUGGCUAUCGGUUCAGGCUUUUCCCAUUUAGAACAAGUAACAUCAUCGUUGGAAAUACCAUGCAUGUCAUCACGCAUGUACACUGCGUUGCACGAUGAGGUGUCUGAAGCUUGGGAAGAAACAAGU
Molecule: long non-coding RNA, 709 nt
Organism: Photinus pyralis (common eastern firefly)
Lineage: Eukaryota; Metazoa; Arthropoda; Insecta; Coleoptera; Lampyridae
Exons: 3
Source: RefSeq, a predicted model, not a curated record